This 483-nucleotide ribosomal RNA is filed under the name uncultured bacterium. RNAcentral's name for it is "partial 16S ribosomal RNA". It matches the Rfam family "Bacterial small subunit ribosomal RNA", at positions 28 to 523 of the family's 1533-position model. The record is from RNAcentral.
GACGAACGCUGGCGGCGUGCUUAACACAUGCAAGUCGAACGAUGAAGCCGGAGCUUGCUCCGGUGGAUUAGUGGCGAACGGGUGAGUAACACGUGAGCAAUCUGCCCUUGACUCUGGGAUAACUGCGGGAAACUGUAGCUAAUACCGGAUACGACACCUUGGGGCAUCCCAGGGUGUGGAAAGAAUUUCGGUCAAGGAUGGGCUCGCGGCCUAUCAGCUAGUUGGUGAGGUAAUGGCUCACCAAGGCGACGACGGGUAGCCGGCCUGAGAGGGUGACCGGCCACACUGGAACUGAGACACGGUCCAGACUCCUACGGGAGGCAGCAGUGGGGAAUAUUGCACAAUGGGCGAAAGCCUGAUGCAGCAACGCCGCGUGAGGGAUGAAGGCCUUCGGGUUGUAAACCUCUUUUAGCAGGGAAGAGGCGAAAGUGACGGUACCUGCAGAAAAAGCACCGGCUAACUACGUGCCAGCCGCCGCGGUAA